This 2770-nucleotide ribosomal RNA is filed under the name Klebsiella pneumoniae. RNAcentral's name for it is "bacterial LSU rRNA". It matches the Rfam family "Bacterial large subunit ribosomal RNA". The record is from RNAcentral. Lineage: Bacteria; Pseudomonadati; Pseudomonadota; Gammaproteobacteria; Enterobacterales; Enterobacteriaceae.
CACUAUCGUUAACUGAAUACAUAGGUUAACGAGGCGAACCGGGGGAACUGAAACAUCUAAGUACCCCGAGGAAAAGAAAUCAACCGAGAUUCCCCCAGUAGCGGCGAGCGAACGGGGAGCAGCCCAGAGUCUGAAUCAGCUUGUGUGUUAGUGGAACGGUCUGGAAAGUCCGACGGUACAGGGUGAUAGUCCCGUACACCAAAAUGCACAGGUUGUGAACUCGAAGAGUAGGGCGGGACACGUGGUAUCCUGUCUGAAUAUGGGGGGACCAUCCUCCAAGGCUAAAUACUCCUGACUGACCGAUAGUGAACCAGUACCGUGAGGGAAAGGCGAAAAGAACCCCGGCGAGGGGAGUGAAAAAGAACCUGAAACCGUGUACGUACAAGCAGUGGGAGCACCUUCGGGUGUGACUGCGUACCUUUUGUAUAAUGGGUCAGCGACUUAUAUUCUGUAGCAAGGUUAACCGUAUAGGGGAGCCGCAGGGAAACCGAGUCUUAACUGGGCGUUAAGUUGCAGGGUAUAGACCCGAAACCCGGUGAUCUAGCCAUGGGCAGGUUGAAGGUUGGGUAACACUAACUGGAGGACCGAACCGACUAAUGUUGAAAAAUUAGCGGAUGACUUGUGGCUGGGGGUGAAAGGCCAAUCAAACCGGGAGAUAGCUGGUUCUCCCCGAAAGCUAUUUAGGUAGCGCCUCGUGAAUUCAUCUUCGGGGGUAGAGCACUGUUUCGGCUAGGGGGUCAUCCCGACUUACCAACCCGAUGCAAACUACGAAUACCGAAGAAUGUUAUCACGGGAGACACACGGCGGGUGCUAACGUCCGUCGUGAAGAGGGAAACAACCCAGACCGCCAGCUAAGGUCCCAAAGUCAUGGUUAAGUGGGAAACGAUGUGGGAAGGCACAGACAGCCAGGAUGUUGGCUUAGAAGCAGCCAUCAUUUAAAGAAAGCGUAAUAGCUCACUGGUCGAGUCGGCCUGCGCGGAAGAUGUAACGGGGCUAAACCAUGCACCGAAGCUGCGGCAGCGACACUAUGUGUUGUUGGGUAGGGGAGCGUUCUGUAAGCCUGCGAAGGUGUGCUGUGAGGCAUGCUGGAGGUAUCAGAAGUGCGAAUGCUGACAUAAGUAACGAUAAAGCGGGUGAAAAGCCCGCUCGCCGGAAGACCAAGGGUUCCUGUCCAACGUUAAUCGGGGCAGGGUGAGUCGACCCCUAAGGCGAGGCCGAAAGGCGUAGUCGAUGGGAAACAGGUUAAUAUUCCUGUACUUGGUGUUACUGCGAAGGGGGGACGGAGAAGGCUAUGUUAGCCGGGCGACGGUUGUCCCGGUUUAAGCAUGUAGGCUGGUUGUCCAGGCAAAUCCGGAUAAUCAAGGCUGAGGUGUGAUGACGAGGCACUACGGUGCUGAAGUAACAAAUGCCCUGCUUCCAGGAAAAGCCUCUAAGCAUCAGGUAACAUUAAAUCGUACCCCAAACCGACACAGGUGGUCAGGUAGAGAAUACCAAGGCGCUUGAGAGAACUCGGGUGAAGGAACUAGGCAAAAUGGUGCCGUAACUUCGGGAGAAGGCACGCUGGUGUGUAGGUGAAGUCCCUGCGGAUGGAGCUGAGACCAGUCGAAGAUACCAGCUGGCUGCAACUGUUUAUUAAAAACACAGCACUGUGCAAACACGAAAGUGGACGUAUACGGUGUGACGCCUGCCCGGUGCCGGAAGGUUAAUUGAUGGGGUUAUCCGUAAGGAGAAGCUCUUGAUCGAAGCCCCGGUAAACGGCGGCCGUAACUAUAACGGUCCUAAGGUAGCGAAAUUCCUUGUCGGGUAAGUUCCGACCUGCACGAAUGGCGUAAUGAUGGCCAGGCUGUCUCCACCCGAGACUCAGUGAAAUUGAACUCGCUGUGAAGAUGCAGUGUACCCGCGGCAAGACGGAAAGACCCCGUGAACCUUUACUAUAGCUUGACACUGAACAUUGAGCCUUGAUGUGUAGGAUAGGUGGGAGGCUUUGAAGCGUGGACGCCAGUCUGCGUGGAGCCAACCUUGAAAUACCACCCUUUAAUGUUUGAUGUUCUAACGUUGGCCCCUGACCGGGGUUGCGGACAGUGUCUGGUGGGUAGUUUGACUGGGGCGGUCUCCUCCCAAAGCGUAACGGAGGAGCACGAAGGUUAGCUAAUCCUGGUCGGACAUCAGGAGGUUAGUGCAAUGGCAUAAGCUAGCUUGACUGCGAGCGUGACGGCGCGAGCAGGUGCGAAAGCAGGUCAUAGUGAUCCGGUGGUUCUGAAUGGAAGGGCCAUCGCUCAACGGAUAAAAGGUACUCCGGGGAUAACAGGCUGAUACCGCCCAAGAGUUCAUAUCGACGGCGGUGUUUGGCACCUCGAUGUCGGCUCAUCACAUCCUGGGGCUGAAGUAGGUCCCAAGGGUAUGGCUGUUCGCCAUUUAAAGUGGUACGCGAGCUGGGUUUAGAACGUCGUGAGACAGUUCGGUCCCUAUCUGCCGUGGGCGCUGGAGAAUUGAGGGGGGCUGCUCCUAGUACGAGAGGACCGGAGUGGACGCAUCACUGGUGUUCGGGUUGUCAUGCCAAUGGCACUGCCCGGUAGCUAAAUGCGGAAGAGAUAAGUGCUGAAAGCAUCUAAGCACGAAACUUGCCCCGAGAUGAGUUCUCCCUGAGACUUUAAGUCUCCUGAAGGAACGUUGAAGACGACGACGUUGAUAGGCCGGGUGUGUAAGCGCAGCGAUGCGUUGAGCUAACCGGUACUAAUGAACCGUGAGGCUUAACCUUACAACGCCGAAG